AUGAUUUUUUUACCAUAUAUAACAAAAAAAGUACAACAAAUGAAUAAUAUAACUAUGAUAAAUUAUUAUAACAAAAUAUAUCAAUUUUGUACAAACGUAUGUAUAUAUAAUGAUACAAAUUUUGACAUUUUUUUUUUACAUAAUAAUUAUAAAAAUUAUAUUUAUUCAAAAAAAUGUACAUACAUUAAUGCAUUCAAUUUUAAUAUAAAUAAUUUUUGUUUACUUCUUUUGUAUGAAAAAAAAUUAUAUACAUCUAAUACUUUAUCAAAGUAUACAUUAUAUAAAAAAAGAAAUACGAAUUUAAUUAAAAAAACGAAUGAAAUUAAUUGUGACAAUAGUGAAGAUAUAUAUUCAUUUGAAUUAAAAAAAGGUUUAAGUAGGUUUUACAAAUCUUUAAAAUAUGGAGACUCCAUAAAUGGUCAAAUAGAAGAUAAAUAUAAUGUAUAUGAAACAUCAGUAUUUUUACAUUUACUUAAAAAUGAUGCCACUGGUUUUUUAGCCAAUGGUUCUGUUGCUAACGGUUCUGUUGGUAACGGUUCUAUUGGUAACGGUACUGUUGCUAACGGUUCUGUUGGUAACGGUUCUGUUGUUAAAUCUGAUAAAGACAAACAUACGGAAUUAACAAAUAAUAACUCUCGUUAUAAUAAAUACCAUAUAUAUAAUUCAAUACGAAGGAAAUUUAUUAAGUUACUUUUAAAUGAAGAAAGUAGUAAUAAUAUAUGUUUGGGUAUAUCUCAUUUUCCUACUUCUGGAGGUACUACAAAUUAUGUUACUGAUGGAACACCUGCUCCUUACAUACAAAUUAAACUACACAUACUACACAGUAAGAACCACUAUAACAACAAUAACAACAACAAUAAUAACAGUAACAACAAUAAUAACAAUAACAACAAUAAUAACAAUAAUAACAAUAAUAACAAUAAUAACAAUAACAACAAUAAUAACAAUAACAACAACAGUAACAACAACAGUAACAAUAGAAACUCUUCAGUAUUCAUACGAAUAAAAUGUAGUACUGUUUUAAAAAAUACUUUACCUAUACCUGUAUACUACCAAAAUGCAUAUAAAUUAAAAAAAAUAAAUCCAUUUCGUGUUAAACAACUUUUAUCUCCAUUAGUGAAUUUUAAUGUAAAGGGAAACACAGUCGACAGUAAUAAAAUAAAUAUAAUUUAUGAACAAAAAAAAAAAAAGAAAAUAAAAAAUAAAAAAAAAAUAAACGAAAAUGAAAAUAAAAAUGAAAAUAAAAAUAAAAAUAAAAACGAAAAUAAAAAUAAAAACGAAAAUAAAAAUAAAAACGAAAAAUGUUAUUAUAAUAACAUUUUUAGUAAUUAUAACACAUUUUUUAAUCACAAAAACAUUAUAAAUGCUGAAUUUAUUUAUAUCAGUAACACAAAUACAUAUGGAGGAAAACGUUUUAUAAUAAAAAAAAUAAACUUAUUUUUUUUUUCACCUAUAUAUGUUCAUUUAUCACUAGACACAAUUGAAAAGUUUUAUUAUUAUUAUGAAAAAUGUUUUAAAAAAAAGGUGAAAAAAAUUAAUAAUAUUAAAAAAAAAAUACAAAUCUUAAAAAAGGAAACACUAUUAUGUUUUCCUUUGACAAUAAUAAUAAUUGUAGUGAUAGUAUUAAAACCAAUUUAUUUAAUAAAAAAAAAUGUGUCAUAAUUGUGGUAGUACAAACAACAACACUCAUACAUUUUUCCAUCCUAAUAUACUGAAAAAAAAGAAAAAUAAACAAACCAAAAUAAAAGUUGAACUUUUAAAA
This 1762-nucleotide long non-coding RNA is filed under the name Piliocolobus tephrosceles (Ugandan red Colobus). Its description in RNAcentral is "lncRNA (ENSPTEG00000019522.1)". Lineage: Eukaryota; Metazoa; Chordata; Mammalia; Primates; Cercopithecidae. The record is from RNAcentral.